ACUGUGCUCUACGAAGGCCCUGUCCGUGGGCUCUGCCCCUUUGCCCCGCGAAAUUCCAACACCAUGGCGGCGGCUGCCCUGGCUGCCCCCAGCCUGGGCUUCGAUGGGGUGAUUGGGGUGCUCGUGGCUGAUACCAGGUGAGCAGAGCUAAGCAGGGUGUUGGGCUGAGUCCAGGCUCUCCAGACUGACUGCCCCUCUUGUCCCAGCCUCACGGACAUGCACGUGGUGGAUGUAGAGCUGAGCGGACCCCGGGGCCCCACGGGCCGAAGCUUUGCUGUGCACACCCGCAGAGAGAACCCUGCCGAGCCAGGCGCGGUCACCGGCUCCGCCACCGUCACGGCCUUCUGGCAGAGCCUCCUGGCCUGCUGCCAGCUCCCCUCCAGGCCGGGGAUCCAUCUCUGCUGAGAAGCCUCCUCCCUCCCGAGACAAGAUCAUCUGCCUGGCCUCUCACCACCACCAUCCCACCCCUGCCCUGCCCCACUUCCCCAGGGUCUCCCUUCUGACUCAGUAAAGAUCACCGCUGCCUCCCCC
RNAcentral lists this long non-coding RNA (531 nucleotides) under Homo sapiens (human). Its description in RNAcentral is "non-protein coding lnc-JOSD2-1:3". Lineage: Eukaryota; Metazoa; Chordata; Mammalia; Primates; Hominidae. The record is from RNAcentral.